Molecule: long non-coding RNA, 1294 nt
Organism: Scylla paramamosain (green mud crab)
Lineage: Eukaryota; Metazoa; Arthropoda; Malacostraca; Decapoda; Portunidae
Exons: 2
Source: RefSeq, a predicted model, not a curated record
GGUUGUAUUGUGGCAUUUAAGUUAUAACUUUGUCUAUCUUGGUAAUUAUGUUGGACUAUUGAAUGAAAUAAAAUGCAUUAGGCAGGGAAAUUUAGGGAUUCAGUGCAUAAAUGUUCGUACAUGUUUAUGAUUAAUCUUUAAUAUGGUUGUAGGGUUGUGUUACUUUAGCCGGACAGAGGCAGUGACUGACAACGUGGCGUUGUUAUUUCCGGGUCUCAGAGGAGCCCAGCUUAGGCAGCGUGUAGACGUGUCAGAGGCAAAACUGCAAUGAGCUGAGAGAAUGCAGGGGACACACACUAACUCAGAUGCACACAAUACCAUCAGGAGGAACUAAGACAUCACUUAUCUUGCAUUGAGUCUUAAGGGAACACAGACAAACACUCCCUCUGUCACUAUAACACACAUAAGCAGGAGUCCCACCUUUCAGAGUGCCCACAGUAUCCCAGGUAACCUCAAUGGGAAACUUGAGCUCAGCAUCUUGAGGGACAAAGGCCUUGUAGCCAGCAUGGGAGGGAGACAGGGCUGCCCAGCUUGCCUUCUCCAGGAAGUUAGACUCAAAGUAUUCCAGCUGGUACAACUCAACAAGCACCCCAUGCUCAUCUGCACAUGGAGAGGAUGAAGUGUGUGUGUGUGUGUGUGUGUGUGUGUGUGUGUGUGAUUGUAGUGAUAAUUUAACAGGCUCCAGUGUGGGUUUCAUGAUUACUUGUGAUUCUCUUGAUAAUUUAACAAGGCCAGUGAUAAUUUAACAGAUUCCAACACAAGUUAAAAGGGUUUCUAUGUCUGUUUUCAUGAUUCUGGUAAUAGUUUAACAGAUUCCACAUCAUUUGGUAAAAAAAAAAAAAAAAAAAAUCCUGCGAACUUGACCAGUCCUCUCUGUGAGAACAACCCUAAUGAGAGGACAACAUUUCAGAAUACCGGGGUCCUUGAGUUAUGAUGCAGUUCAGCUCCUGCGCCAUGUCAUAAACCAGUUUUCAGUGUAGCGCUGAACCAACCUAAGUAGCAAGUACCUACAGUAUAAGAAAAAAAAAAAACACCCUUGAGAACCUCAAUAACUUCCAGUAGAGCCUGUUAAACUGUCACUGCCCUUCUUAACCUAACAUCAAAAUUCUAAAAUGCCCUUGAAAACCCAAAAUAACUUACACUAGAACCUUUUAAGCUACCACUGGCCACCCUUGAAAAACCUAAAUAACUUACAUUUGAGACUUUUAAGCAUAACUACUGUACCUGUAAAAAAACAUGGACAUACAGUAAAUAAAAGAAUAAUGAAAUAAAUCAGUGAAAAAAAAAAAAAAAA